Drosophila obscura is the source of this 1400-nucleotide long non-coding RNA. RefSeq lists it as uncharacterized. The transcript is spliced from 3 exons. The record is from RefSeq and is a predicted model, not a curated record. NCBI's taxonomy places the organism in Eukaryota, Metazoa, Arthropoda, Insecta, Diptera, Drosophilidae.
AUUCCGCAGUGCUGGAUACUAUGCUUUACUCUCAAAACUAGACCUUGAAUGCAAGAAAGCUUGGGGGGCUACUUCCAGUGCAUCGUGCAAGGAAAAUAUGACCAUAAAUGACCUGUUCGCCUUUCUUUUCGAUCGGUUUGAUGCGUUUAAGUCUUGUCAAGAUCCAACAGUAGUCCAUGAUACUCCCACUGUGCUGAAUAGACGUCGUGCAGUUUUUCAUCAUGCGGACGUGCCAACUACGUCUGUUCGUAAUUGCGUGUAUUGUCACGGGACACACAGUCUUUAUGCGUGCACUGAAUUUAAUGCUAUGAACGUUGUGGAUCGUCGCCCGUUUGCAAUGAAGGUGAAAGUCGAGGCACCACACUCUUGUCCAUCCAAAAGAGAUCGUCAUUACACCGAGUACUGUUGUCAAUACAUCAGCUGACCCAAACUUACGCUCGUCCACACAUUCUGCUGAGGCUGAUCUUGCCGUGGUCAGCCAUCAUACAUUUUUGAGAGGAUUGUUGGCCACUAGUCAAGCCAUAUUGCCAACGAUUUAAGUCACUAUAGUCGACUCAUGGGGCAACGAGGCAACCUGUAGGAUAUUGCUGGAUACUGUUUCAACUUUAACGAUGGUCGCCGAGUCGUUUAUUCAAGUCGGAUUAUUCGUAUACAAGUGCCCAGAGGAUCGAGUCAAACACUACCCUAAGUGGUAAACCCACAUUUUGUAAACCAGGCGAAAUCGUCGUGAUUUUGGGAGCUGAUCAGAGCUGGACAACGCAAAGAGUUUGGUUUAGCAUAUCCUAUUGCACUUCAUACUAAUUUUGGUUGGGUCAUUACAGACAGCUACCAUCUCUUUAGUGAUGCUCACACCCACGCACUGGAAAACACGCUCACGAGGAUCUGGAUACCUUAGUUCGAUCGUUCGUACCAUUGACGCUAGUCCCGCUGAGCAACACUUCGUGCAAACGCUUACCCACAGAGACCAUCGUCCAAUAUCCGUUCAAGGAUUCCGCUCCGCCGAUGGGGUCCACAUUGUCACAGUUAAUUUGAAAAUAUUUUUUUCUUUAAUUUCAUUAUAAAUAAUUAAAUGAAAAUUUUCUCAGUUACAUAUAACAUUUUGAGUAACAUCUUCGUAUUCAGAGUCAGUAUAUUUCGCUUAAACUCGAGGUUUUAACUAACAGCCAAAUAUACACAUUUUUUACUGUACAGCAAGUGAAAAAAUAUUGGUUUAUGACAUGGACUUGGAAUCUAUCUGCAAAAUUGAGGAUUUAUAACAUUAUAGGUCGUCCAUCCGAAAUUUCUUGCCUGGUACCAUUCAAAAUCGAAAACGACCGACACAGUUUUAACAAUUAAGGAAUAGAUUUGUACACAAAUACGAAUAAAAAUUGAAGUAUCAAUGCUCUUCUUGGGUUUUUUUC